CAGUGUGGCGCGGCCGCCGCCGGCCGGGAGCUGACAGGUGCGGCGGGCCGGGAAGUUGCUGACUAAGCCGGGCCGGGCGGAGCCGGGGCGGCGGCGGCCGGAGGAGAGGGAAGGAGAAGCGGCUCUGCCGAGCGUCGGGUCGCAGCGUCGGCGCUUCGGAAGGGCUCAUGGGGACGGCGGCGAGCCACAGCAGCGAGGAGGAGGAGGAGGGCGCCGAGGAAGGCAUGAAGGGGGCGGCCGUCGCGUCUCAGCCCGGCGCUCCCUUCCCGUCCGGCGCUGCCGCCAGCCCGGCGCCGCCGCUGCCCCCGGCCGAGGUGCUGCUGGACCAGGCCCGGCUGCGGGAAGCCACGGCGCGGCUGCGGGAGGCGGCGCUGCCCGAGUCGCUGGUGUCGCGGCACCACAGCACGCUGGUGCGCUGGCUGGAGGAGCGCCUCAGCCGCGGCGACGAGGCCGUCAGCCUGGAGCAGUUCUGCGAGGUGCUGGAGAGCGUCUCCCGCCUGGCUGCCGGCUCCCGGGGCGAGAGCGAGGAGGCCUUUGCACAAUUUGAUGCUGAAGGAGAUGGCACUGUAGAUGUGGAGAAUAUGCUGGAGGCUCUCAAGAAUUCUAGUGGAGCUAAUCUUCAAGGGGAGCUUAGCCAUGUCAUCAGGCAACUGCAAGCUUGUUCACUAGUUCCAGGUUUUAUUGAUAUAUUUUCUGAAUCGAAAGAGCGUCUUGGUCUUCAUGCCUCAAUGAUACUGAGAUUCUUGCACCGGAAUCGGAUUUCUAGUACUGCCAUCCCUUACCCAGUGUUGGAGUACUUCAACAAUAUCUGUACUAUGCGGUCUUCUGUGCUGAAGGAUUCUUUAGAUCGACUUCUCCUAAAAGAGAGAGAAUACCCCAGUGACUUGAAUGGUAAUCAGGAGUCGGACAAACUGAAGUCUGUCACGAAGUGCUACACUCACAUAGAAACCUCGUCCAAUUCCGCUGAUAUUGAUAAGAUGACAAAUGGAGAAACCACAUCCUUCUGGCAGUCGGAUGGGAGUGCUCGCUCACAUUGGAUACGUUUAAAGAUGAAACCAGAUGUUGUUUUGAGACAUCUGUCCAUUGCGGUGGCAGCCAAUGACCAGAGUUACAUGCCACAGCAAGUUACAGUGGCAGUGGGAAGGAAUGCCAGCAGUCUUCAGGAGGUCCGAGACGUUCACAUUCCCAGCAAUAUCACUGGCUACGUAACACUGUUGGAAAACGCUAACAUUAGUCAGAUGUAUGUACAGAUAAACAUCAAGCGUUGCCUUAGUGAUGGAUGUGACACUAGAAUCCAUGGACUCAGGGCCGUUGGUUAUCAAAGAGUUAAGAAGGUGGGCGUCUCUGUGUGCGAUGCUUCCGCUAUCUGGUACUGGUCUCUGCUGACCUCUCUCGUAACAGCUUCCAUGGAAACAAAUCCCGCAUUCGUUCACACUAUUUUACAAAAUACUCAGAAAGCACUGCAACACAUGCCACCUCUAUCCCUAACACCGGGCUCCACAGAUUUUUCAAGCUUCUUAUCUCCAAAUGUUUUGGAAGAAGUCGAUAGCUUCCUUAUAAGAAUAACAAGUUGUUGUACUACUCCAGAGGUUGAACUUACACUCUUGGCCUUUGCCUUGGCCAGGGGGAGUGUUGCUAAAGUGAUAAGUUCCCUUUGUACAAUUACCGAUCAUCUGGACACUCCGUACAAGGCUUCAUCCCUUAUUGCUUCCAUGGCAACAGUUAGACAGAACCUGCUGUAUAAAUACGGAAAACUAUUACGACUAACUUUGCAAGCAUGUGAUGUAAAGGGAAAAGAAGAUAAAUCAGGGCCUGAAAACCUCCUUGUAGAGCCAUGGACUGGGGAUGGUUUUCUUACUGAAACUGGGAAGACCAGAGCAAGUAUCAUUCUUUCCACUGGAACUGAAUCUUCAUUUCAAGUGACACAAAUUAGAAUAAAGGUCCGAAGAGGUGCCAUUGGGGCCCAGUGUGGGCUGGUGUUUGCUUAUAAUAGUGCUUCGGAAAAGUUCCAUGCAGAGGAACACUUCAAAAGAUUUGAAAGCUAUGACAAAUGGAAGCUGCGGGAAUUCAAACAAUUUUUAAAAAACAGAAGCAGUUGUUCCUGUGAUGAUUUGGGGGAUGAUGACCCUAUUGGCUGGUUUGAAGUGGAAGAAGAAUGGGAUGAAGUUGACGUCAAAAUGCAGCAAUGCAGAAUUUCCCAAUACUUGAUGAUAAAGUUCUUGUGCACAAGACAAGACACAGCAGAACGGCUCGGGGUUCAAGGCCUGAAUGUUCUUGGCUACCUUCGGCCUAUGCGAGAUGAGCCCAAUAGGAGCAUGAACUGUUUGCAGUGCAGGAAAACUGAUGAUGAUACUGUUUGUGGCACAACUCUUCUCCUGAAGACACUUCAUUUCAUCCAGCAGCUGGCACAGGACCUGGUUCAACAGAAGGAGAGUGGAUUAAAAUACAAGUCGUUUUUAGAUUUCACAGGCCUUGAUUUGCAGCUGUUCUGGAAUUUUUACAGUAAACUUCACCAAAACCCAAGGGAGGAAUGCAUCUUUGCUCAAACACUGCUAUUGCAGCUUCUCCAGAGCUGCUUCUCUGUACUUACUGGCGACAAUAAAACUGCUAAACCUCAAGAAACUUCUCAGAGCAAAACAUCUGGUCACACAGAAGCUGCGGAAGAGCUUUAUAGACAUCUGUGUGAAGUAGUGGAUAUGCGGGACAGUAACUUCAUGCCAAUGAAAAUGCUGAAAGAGGAAGUUAAGAACACCUUACUCAGCGGAGCAGCAAUCUUUUUCCCAGAUAGACAAACCAGGCGACACCAGCUCUUCACCAUGAUGAAAAACAUCACAGAGCAAGAGCAUAAGCAAUCUGUACAUCUUGCCUUCAGAUCCUUGUGUACCCACUUCAGUGAUCAAGAUCCAGGUGGACUCCUAUUAUUACCAGAGAAAGGAGAUUCUGCAAAUUUUGACAUAAGUGAAGUGCUAUCAGUCAUGGAUACCCUUCUGCUAGUGGCGGCAAGAGAGUGUGAAAUGAUGAUGCUGGAUGUUGCACAGCAGGAGAGUGGCACGGUCUUGUCUUCCUUAUUCUGGUCUGUUCAAGGUAGCCUGCUUUCAUGGUGCUACCUGCAACUUAAGGGUAGCGAUAAUUCAGCCAAGGAUCUUGCUGUAGAAAUACUUAAAAACUAUGUGGGCCAGUUCCUGUCAAAUAUCAGAACGAUUUUGCAGUCACUUUUAUCUCAAUAUAGUGGCAAAACAAUAGUAGAAAAAAUAAGUAACUCUGUCUUUGCUAUGGCAACUCGUCAGCUGGUCAUCUUCUUGUUGGAUUUUUGCACUUUAGACAUUCCAUACUGUACUCUGCUACAGGGAUUCAGCACUUUGAUAGAACCAUUGAAAAGCCUUUGCAGUGAGCCUCAUAAGAUGGAAAUGGAAAGCUGGCAGCAAGAGCAGCCUGUAGUAUUGCGAACGUGGACAAUGGAAUCGCCUCAUAACUAUGAAAAUAAUUGUCAUGAGGUCUCAGUCUUCCUAUGUCAUGGGGCAACUUACUUUGAGGUGGAAUUUGAUGAAAAAUGUGAAACUGAAAGGAGGUAUGAUUACCUGGAGUUUACCGAUGCCAGAGGUGCAAAAACUCGUUACGAUACAAAGGUUGGCACUGAGAAGUGGCCUAAGAAAGUGACCUUUAAGGCUGGCCCACGGCUGCAGUUUCUCUUUCACUCUGACAGCAGUAAUAAUGAGUGGGGCUACAAGUUUUCCGUCACUGCUUAUGGCCUACCAGAUGUUGCCGUUUCUUGGGGCUUGGAUUUACAGCUUCUUGUAUCCCGGUUGAUGGGGCGCUUGGCUUCCCGAAGUAUGGCGCUGAAAUCUCUACGAGAACUAGGUAGUGAAGCAGACUUGCCUCCUUUGAAAGUAACAUCAGUUCUUAAUUCUCCUCUGUGGAAACCUGUCUUCAGGCACCAGAUGUGUCCUGAGGCACUCCCGGGAGCCAGUCAGAGCCGUAGACUGCACCAAGAUAAAAAAGAGGCUAGGAGCUCUCACCAAGAUGACUGCCGUAACUUUCUUAUUGACUUUGCAAAAUCAGAUCCUGCCCAGGACUUCAGUGGGCAAAAAUCUGAACUUUUCAAAGGACUUAUACAGGCGUGUAAAAAACAGGCCCCAAAGACAGAUACAGUUGCUGGUUCAACUGUUGAUCAAGCUGUGAACUCGACAUUUGCUGCUUUGGUGUAUCUGACUCCAGAUUUAUAUGAGAAGCUUCAAAAAUAUGUCAACAGUGGAGGCAAGGUGCCUUUGAGUGAUGAGUUUGCACAAGUAUAUUCCCUGGCCGAUUCAAUUAGAAUAUGGAUGUUGGAAAUGAAGCAGAAAUCCCUGAUGGGUAGAGGAAAUGAUACUGAGGAGAAGCAGAACGCAGAAGCGAGUGAGGUGAACCCAGAAACUCUUGCAAAACUUUGUAUGCAGAAGAGCCUUCUGUUACUGAAUUUUUUGCCUGUAAGAGCAAAGACGAAAGAUUCUGCUUCAGGCAGUUUGGAAGCCCAAGACAUUGAUGAUAUCCAACAGUAUGUCAGUGAUAAGUGCCAAAGAAAAGGUUCUGUUGUGGACACAGACUUCCAGGCAGCACACUCAUUGCCUUCCAACGGAGUAACUCAUCCUGUUUCAAAAGAGGGGGGCCAAAUGACACAAUCUGAUAGGAAGAUUAAACAAGUUCCAGAUCCCCUCAAAACAGAAGAAGCAUCUGCAUUUCAUAGUAAGCCUGUUGAGAAUACAGCUUCACAGCAAGAAGAUAUAUCAUCACCUCCUUCCACUCCUACACGAAAAUCUCAGUUCAGCCGUGGAAGACUAAGGCUGCUGUCUUUCAGAUCAAUGGAGGAGCCGAGAGCUGUGCCUACUGUGAAGGAGAAAUAUCCUAUAUUGAAAAACAUAUUAGACUUCAUUAAGGAUCAAUCACUUUCACAUGAAAGUGUUUUAAAGGUUCUUGCUUUGAGAAAAUCCCAAGGGCAAAGUAUUAUGGAAGUGCUGAAGACAAUCCGCCAGUGCCUAGACUCGCUUGGGCAACCACACUGUUUUCAUCCACCAUGUGUACUAUUUCUGUUAGAACUUCUAGCCUGUCAGAAAGAUUUUACAAACUACUUUGGAAACUUGGAAGGUUGUGGUGCUGAGCUACACAAAGAGAUUCGAGAGUCCUACUACCAGCUUGUUUUGUUCCUGGUAAAUUCUGUGAAGGGAUUUAGUGCUAUUAAUGACAGGUCGUUGCUUCCUGCCUUAUCAUGUGUGCAGACGACUCUCCUUCACCUUUUGGAUAUGAGUUGGGAACCAAGUGACCUUUCCUUCUUUGUUGAGAUUCAGUUACCCCAUCUUCUUAUGGCUACAUCACAAGAAAACAUAAGUAUUCAUGACAGUGUGAUUUGUCAGUGGAGUGAAGAAGAUGAAAUUGCAGACUACAAGCAAAACUGUGAGUGGAUGGAUGAAUGUCAGGAUGUAAUGUUUGAGACCUGGUAUGAAAAGAUAGCUCAAGCUGACCCAGAGAAGCAGAGAAAGAUGCACAUGUUUGUUGCUCGUUACUGUGACCUGUUAAACGUGGACAUAUCCUGUGAUGGCUGUGAUGAAAUUGCACCGUGGCAUCGCUACCGCUGUCUACAAUGUAAUGACAUGGAUCUGUGUAAAACUUGUUUUCUUGGUGGAGUUAAACCUGAAGGACACGAGGAUGACCAUGAAAUGGUUAACAUGGAGUAUGCCUGUGAUCACUGUCAAGGAGUUAUCAUAGGUCGGAGAAUGAACUGCAAUGUGUGUGAUGACUUUGACCUUUGCUAUGGGUGCUAUUCUGCAAAGAAAUACUCUGACAGUCACUUGCCCACUCACAGCAUCACGGUGUACCCGAUGGUGACUAUUCGAAUCAGUGACCGACAGAGGCUCAUCCAGCCAUAUGUCCACAAUUAUUCCUGGCUGUUGUUUGCAGCUUUGACUCUCUAUAGUGCAGAUCUGGCAAAUGGGGAGGAAGUAGAAGGGGAAAAACUAGAUUCACAGGUCCUCAGUCAUGCCAGAGUUCUGCAACAUCAGUGCAUACAGCUCAUCGGAGACUGCUUGAUGAAAGCACAGCACGGAAAAGGUCUGAAAAAUUUAGCUCUCCUUUGCAUGUUACCAGAAGGUGAAUCCUUCUCAGAGAAUGACACUGUUUCAGUCAGUCCUCCAACAGAUGGUGCUCCAAAAAGUGAUAAAGCAGUGAAGGGAAGAGAUGAGAAACCAAGCACAGGCUCUUUUAUGCGUUGUAACGGGAAAGGAGAUGCUCGCAAUGAAAUCCAGUCCCCUGCAGAAGAUAAAGGAGGAAAACAAGGAAGUGAAAGCAAAGUUGUCUCUGCAAAGAAAGCUGUUUUGAGACAAGAGUCAGACUUGUCUGUGGAUGAUAAUCUUUCUCCAACAGGAGAUGACUACCUCUUGGAGGAUUCAGCCCAGAAGCAAGCAGAGAAGGUUUUAAUACCUAGCCAGGAGCAAGUUUUUGCUGAAUGCUCUCAGAAGAGGAUUCUAGGAUUGCUUGCAGCUAUGCUACCACCUUUCAAAUCGGGCUCCACAAUGUCUUUGAUUAACCUGGAACAAAUACUUCCACUGAUGUUUCAGGUCGUAAUCUCAAACGCUGGCCACCUAAAUGAAACUUAUCAUUUAACAUUGGGACUUCUGGGCCAGUUAAUCCUGAGACUUAUGCCUGCAGAAGUGGAUGCUGCAGUGGCUAAAGUCCUUUCAGCCAAACAUAAUCUGUUUGCUGCGGGAGAUGGGUCUACAGUGCCAGAAGGCUGGAAGACAACUCAUCUUCUGUUCAGUCUGGGAGCUGUGUGUUUAGACAGUCGUGUAGGUCUGGACUGGGCAAGCUCCAUGGCAGAUAUUCUUCGAUCUUUGAACUCUUCUGCGCAGUGGCAUAAUGUGAUCGCUGCUUUCACUGACCAUUGCAUUAAGCAACUGCCCUUCCAGCUAAAGCACACCAAUAUCUUCACUUUAUUGGUGCUGGUUGGGUUUCCUGAGGUGCUGUGUAUGGGGACUCGUUCUGUGUACAUGGAUAAUGCUAAUGAGCCUCAUAACGUGAUCAUCCUGAAGCAUUUCACAGAGAAAAACAGGGCAGUUGUAGUAGACAUCAAAACCCGAAAGAGAAAAACAGUGAAAGACUACCAGUUGAUUCAGAAGUGCGGACAAGAAGGCAGCGAUCCCCAGACCCAGCUGAGACAGUACCUCCAGCACUUUGUUCUUAUAUCCACGCACCUCCUGCAAACCAGCAUGGACAGUAGCUAUGCUGAGGCAGUGGAAGCAACUUGGGUCUUGUCACUCGCUCUAAAGGGGCUUUACAGAACACUUAAGAUUCAUGGUUUUAAGGAGAUCCAGGCUGCCUUUCUUCAGUCUGGUUUACUCAAGCUUCUAGUGAAGAAAUGUAGCAAAGGAACUGGCUUCAGUAAGACCUGGCUUCUCAGAGACUUGGAGAUUUUGUCAAUCAUGCUGUAUUCCUCAAAGAAAGAGAUCAGUUCCUUAGCUGAACGUGAAGAUACUGAACUGGAAGAAAGGGAACAAGAUCAAGAUGUGGAGCAACCCAUUGUCGGUCCUGUUGAUUUAGAGCAGAACAAACUUGAUCCUCUGGAGGGUUUGGAUGAAGCCACCAAAAUAUGCUUCUUGAUGACACAUGAUGCACUUAAUGCCCCUCUCCAUAUUCUUCGAGCCAUGUAUGAGUUGCAAAUGAAAAGAACAGAUUCUUUUUUCCUGGAAGUUCAAAAGAGGUUUGAUGGGGAUGUAAUUACAACAGAUGAGAGGAUCCGAACACUGGCUCAGAAAUGGCAACCCAGCAAGCGUUUGAGGUUGGAGGAGCAGAGUUCAAAAGCAGUAGAUACAGAUAUGAUCAUCUUACCCUGUUUGUCAAAGCCUGCGCUCUGUGAUAAAGCAACAGAAGAAACCAAUCCAGUUGCCCAGAAACUGAUAACCAACACAGAGAGUGAUCUACAGCUUAGUUACGCCAAGCAACGCCGCACGAAGAGUUCCAUACUCUUGCACAAGGAGCUGGACUCUAGAAGUAAAAAGGCUGUGAGGGACUACCUGUAUCGUGUAAAUGAGGCAACUGCUGUUCUUUAUGCCAGGCAUGUGCUGGCAUCAUUGUUAGCCGAGUGGCCAGAUGAUGUGGCAAUAAAUGAGGAAAUCCUUGAUCUUAGUGGCCCAGCCCAUAUGACAUACAUACUGGACAUGCUUAUGCAGCUAGAGGAAAAGCAGUUAUGGGAAAAAAUUCUACAGAAAGUACUGCAUGGGUGCAGUGAGAGCAUGCUGGGAACGAUGGCGUUGACAGCUUGCCAGUUCAUGGAGGAACCCGGAAUGGCAGUCCAAACGCGUGAAUCUAAACAUCCUUACAACAACAAUACUAAUUUUGAGGAUAAAGUUCAUAUUCCCGGUGCUAUCUACCUCUCAAUCAAAUUUGACUCUCAGUGUAAUACAGAAGAAGGCUGUGAUGAGUUGCUCAUGUCUAGCAGCAGUGAUUUCCAGCAGGAUCGGCACAGCUUCAGUGGAUCUCCGCAGAAAUGGAAUGAUUUUGAGCUUCCAGGAGACACACUCUAUUACCGAUUUACCUCUGACAUGAGUAACACUGAGUGGGGUUAUAAGUUUACAGUGACAGCUGGUCAUCUUGGGAGGUUCCAGACAGGGUUUGAAAUUCUAAAGCAGAUGCUGUCUGAGGAAAGGGUAGUUCCUCACCUCCCACUGGCCAAAAUCUGGGAAUGGCAGGUCGGGGUAGCCUGCCGUCAGACUGGUCACCAGCGUUUGAAGGCAAUCCACUUGCUCUUGAAGAUAGUGCAGUGCAGCGCCCAGAGAGACUGUGACCUCACCUUGUUGAAGCCGCUUUGGCAGCUUUUCACCCAUAUGGAAAACAACUUGUGUCAUGACAUGACCAAGCCUGGUAUUCUCCUUCCUCUUCAUCGUGCACUAGCAGAACUCUUCUUUGUUACAGAAAACAGAGUUACUGAGCUUGGAUCUCUACAGGAGUAUUUGCUUGCCUUAAAUACUGAAGAUCAUCUUCAUCGCUGCACAGCACAGGCCCUGAAAAACAUUGCUGCUAUCAGCCUUGCCAUUAACUAUCCGAACAAAUCAACAAGUUUCUGGAAUGUUUAAUACUGGCUCAGGCCGGAGUGCAUGGGAUAGAGUAGUUUGUCCAUAGGAACCUUGGAACAAACAUCUUAACUCCGUUCAGGAAAAGUUCCUUCAGCUUCAGUAUAUGAGCACUCUGCAGCCUUCCUUCCUUCCACCUUGAUGUAGAAUUUGUAAAAGUAAAAGCGCACUUCAAUGACAAAGCACAUCUUGAAGUAACUCAUGCGUCGCCUACAGUUAUGUAUGCACAUAUUGUAGCAUGUUAGAGUAAACAGAACAAUAUUUUUUUUUAUUCAGAGGAAGUAAACAAAAGAAGGUAGCUGAAGUAUGAGAAUGGAAGGCCCCCGUGUUCGUAUCAUCUGCUCCCGAGGAAACUUGAUUGUUGGAACGUGACAGCUUUGAAAAUAUCGCUGAGCUCGGAGUGAUGCCGUCAGUAGCAUCUAUUCUAUGUCAUUGAAGUGAAAUAGGCAAACCAGAAUCUGGUGGGCUGAUACAGAAAUGGUCCACACUUGAAUCCUGUCAUGUUUACUUUUGCUUUGAAGGCUACUACCCAAGGAAACGAACUUUCAUUCUUACUAAACUAUAGGUUGUAAAACAAAUUCUGAUUCGCAUAGCAGUUAAAGGAUUCCAGUUUCAGAGCAUCCUCGUCCAAGAGGUUAAUGUUUCUCCUGUUCUCUGAUUCGAUCAGCUGGAUCAUCUAGUCUUACCUUAAUUUAUCUCCAGUGUGUUAUUCUAAAUAAUACGUUAUUCUAGUGCAGAGAGCAAAGGCUGGCCUCCAUUCACAAAGCAGUGGUAAUAUGAAGAACUGAGGAACUUACUUGUUUCCUGAAGAUCACAUCUUUACAAGAUACUAUUCACAAGGCUUUUUUUUUUUUUAAUUAUUUUGACACUAGUGGCUGAGGAGGUCCCUCUUGGCAAUGUUGGGAACCCGGACUCUCAGCACUCAGGGUGGGGGUUAAUGAUCAAUCCAGUCUUAUCUUACAGAGCAAUAACUGCAUUACUCUUAGUAAACAUGGAAUGAAUUGCAGGCCUUCUAUGCUGAAAUAAAUUGGCUUUCUUCCUGCUCAACUACACUGGUUGUUCCCUUUCCAGAGAGUUAAAAAGAACAUAAAAGAAUUUGGGGGUGUGUUUUGUAUACAUUAUACAGUAUGUAGAGCUGGUCUUGUCAAGUAUGAAUUUAGAGAACUUUUUAUGCUAAUUAUAUUCUUCCCUUCCUCACCUCAACAUUAAAAUACAAAAAAAAAAAAAAAGGCAACCAAAAGCUUCAGUAGUAACUAAAGGCAGUGGCUCUGUCAGAAGGGAAUAUGCUCACUGACCUUGGUUGUCCCAAAGGUGAGUGGUGCCUAAAUAAGCAACAUGCACAGGAGCACCGCUUUGGGCAUGGCCCCCGAAUUCAUGCUUUUCUCAGCCGGGGCUGGAAUUUUAAGGGUGGUCCAAUCUCCCUCUGAGAGGGAAAUGUGUAGUAAUACAUCCCCUUUUUUUGGAUGGCCUCUAGUGCUGUAGUUAAAGAUGUUUUGACCUCUGUUCAGCCAGGUGAGUGCAAAGGGAACGCUUCUUCAGGGGAUGAGGUUGAAUCUACCUGAAAGACUUAAAACCGAAGACCAAGAAGCACUAUGCUGAAGCCAUUGCCUUCAGGAAUGGAGUGGCCUUCUUAGCAAACGAGAAUGCCAGAAUUCAGGAAAAACAUACUGUCUUUAUCAAAGACUGAAAGGAGGCGGAGAGAUAGUGCUUUGAAACCCCUCCUCAGGUAUCCUGUAGUUGAAGGUCGAAGCCCUCCUUCCUUCCAGAAUGAGAUCGCGAUGGGAAGGGAAUUAUCAAAGUUGUGGCAUAUCUUUAACUCAUGGAUCAUUUUGUUCCCACAUCCGAGUCACAUAUUUGAGUUUGCAGUCUCACUGCAGGGGUGUCUGAGAGAUCCCCGAGGAACCAACUGUUUCACACUUUCCAACAGCAUGAACGGAUUCUGGGAACGGGGAGUUGCUCCACCAAAACGAGACGUUCUUAAAGUGUACUUUAGGGAGUCGUAUCGAUGGGACAGGUGAGCGUUUUGAAAUUGCUCUUCUUGAGCAGUAGGACUUUCUAUUCACUGCCUCGGUGUGAAUCCCCGGCUAAGAGGUCGAGGAUAUGCAAUGGGCUGAUUUGCUAAGGCAUGUAGCAUGCUGCUGAGGUCUGCCUGGUAUAGUCAAAGAAGGCUCUUUUCUUUUUUCACAUCAGGGAUGAAGACUGUAAAUAAACCAUUCAGAGAACCUGCCAUGGCUCUAUCAUAUUCACAUUUUUUUCCGUUGGACUGUCUUUUUGCUUUCUGUAUGAAGACGUGAGGCUGCAAGGAUGACGCAGGCGUGGCCAGUGUUCCUUACUAGGCAUACCGCUUCACUUACUCUACCAGCAGUGACUGGCCUUGUGAGUCAGUCACCUUGCCCUGAAGGGACUGUCUAGGAACAGUGUCCACUAAAUAUAAUUUCUACCCACUAGAUGGAACUGAAGGACUGUGACCUGAGUUGACACUGAAUCUGUUGCUGCCUUACAACUCAAUCAUUCAUUAUGGAUUUUUUUAAGAGAUGAGAAACACUGAUUUUUUUUUUUUGAUUUUUUUUUUCCUUCGGAUAGUUUUAAAGCGAGAGGAAGAGAAUACCAAUAAUGAAUAUUCAUGAUCAAUCACAUUUUGAAAGUCCUGCAGCAGUUCCAAGUGGAUGCGGAUGAUACUAUUGAAUAGUAUAAAACUGUCUGGAAAACAGUGAGAUCCAGGGUUCUUCUUGGGAAUCUUCGUUUUCAGUGCCUGUAAGCAAAUGUGCUUUUCCUUCGGCGGUUAGUAUCGGUCUGAUACUGCAUCGAAGUGUGCAGGAUACGUACUACUGGAGUCGUCUCGUGAAUUCCAGCCCCGCUGUUCACAUUCCAGCAGCCUUAUCCUAAACCCAACGUUUUCCCAUGGAUACCCAUCGGUGUCAGUUCCUGUGCUGAUUUACUUUCAGACCCGAAACACACAUCUGGGGCCCCAGAUGUUGUCUCAUGUAAAGCUGAGGAGAAAGCUACAGUAUGUUUAAAGCAGAACUGGCCCAAUGCCCUGAGUUUUCACAGCCUGUGCGCCGGGGAAGCCACCAGCAUGAGCAUCGCACCUUGUUUUCAUGGGACGCACAACCACCCCAGCCAUGGGAGCCUAUGUAAAGUUUGACCUGGUCUUUAGGUAAAGCUACUAGAAUGUUGGAAAACAGAUUAAUGUAUGCAAAGAGGAUGCUUUUCAACACUUGGCUAGUUAGUCUGUAGGAGGUCAGGCUGGAUAAUAACUGGAACAAAGAAUGUACAUUGGUAAAAAGGCCUGGAAAAACAGGAACUGUGGGGGGAAACAGAAAUCUGGCCCACCUCUGGAUUUAAAGCAAAGAAGUCAAUUCCGAUUCAAGCGAAUAAGAGAGAAAUCCACUGUGAAUAGGGAAGGAAUUGAGUAAGAGGUGAAGGAAGUAAGAUUAAAACUCAUUCUUUCCAUGACCGUCGGCUCUAAUUUAAUCAGGUCUAUUCUGCAAUAAUACCUAAGAAAGCACAAACACUAAAAAGUUGAUACCCAGCUCAAACCCGGGCUGCAAUGUUGUGGUGGGACUCAUAAAUGGGUAUGCAAUCUAAAGAGGAAUAAACAUUUAAAAACCCUCCAAAAACCUUAUUUCCUCCAACUGGAAACAUCAACAAGCAUUCCUGAUGAAUAGAUGGAAAUCUCAGACAGUUUUGUAGUGGUCUUUAGCAUUUAGAGGUUCGUUCUUUUUAUAUUCAAAGGCUGAGAACGUUUGGAUUUAGGGAACACGGGAAAAGAAGUGGAGAAAGGAUAACCAGACUGUCUUGGAGAUGGUGUUUCCACCUGUAACUGCUAGGCAGUUUGCUGAGGACCUUCUCCUACUAGUGCUUUUCUGAAGAUGGUCCUUUGUGUUUCUCAGGUGGUGUUUACUCUCUUCCAGGGGCUGUUGGUAAAGUCGGUACUAAACAUCGCACCUCCUUGCUACCUCGUGCCUUGUAUCUGACACGCGAAAUUCUUUUCUCUCUUUAUAAUGAGUCAUUCCCCUUCAACGCACCUCUGCGGAGGUGGGCUGGGAGCUCAGCUUUCACCUCGCUGCCUUUCGGGCACCCAAAGGUUUUAACCUCCUCGACCACGUGUAAUGUCUAGGAACCAACAAAACACCUUUUUGGACUCCAAAGGAGCUGCUGCUCUGUUCAUCUAGUGCCUUUGCUGCCGCAGCAGGAGCGUGGACAAAUGCAAAACAAAGUGACGGGCAGCGCUUUUUGGUAAAUAUUUUAUUUAAAUAUAUUCCCCAUGUGUUUUUAGCUAGACCCAGUAGGUUUCCUCAGACUACAUGCCAGAGUUGUUUCUGUGCUGAUGGAUAGCUGCUGCGCGUUGCAGGGCCGUGCAAGUACGGGUUGUAGUGCAGGCACCCCAUCAACCACAGGUUGUUGGAGCUCGGUCUGAAGUUCUGGGUGACAGAUCCCAUGUUAAUGCCUGAGGAACCGCAGGAAAUGCUUCCCCUUAUGACUUCAUAUUUUCUAAUCAGCAAAAGCAUCUUAUACGCAUUUUUUUUCUCUCCAGUAAGUUGUCUCCUGUGGUGUAACGCGUAAUAGGAGGACUUCAAUGUGCAUACGUAGCUAGACAUUUAUUAGGGCUUCAGUUCAUCACCGUGCUUAUCUUAGAUUAAAUUAAAUAUGGAAUUAAAGUGUAAUCUUAAGUACAUCUAGUUAAGAGUUUAAAGGCAGGCUUUAAAAUGGUUUUGUUGCCUUGGAGCCUAAACAGACCACACCAUUGAUAGGAAGUUCACAAGUUGUACGGCUUUCUCUUGCAUCCAGCAAAAUCUGCAAAGGCAGAAAAUCAGAGAACCCCAGCCUGGUCUGGGUGGGCAGGGACCUCAGAGCCCA
Molecule: RNA transcript, 13952 nt
Organism: Grus americana (Whooping crane)
Lineage: Eukaryota; Metazoa; Chordata; Aves; Gruiformes; Gruidae
Gene: ZZEF1
Gene name: zinc finger ZZ-type and EF-hand domain containing 1
Exons: 57
Source: RefSeq, a predicted model, not a curated record